AUACGGAGGGUGCAAGCGUUGUUCGGAAUUACUGGGCGUAAAGCGCGUGCAGGCGGUAAGGUAAGUCAGAUGUGAAAGCCCCGGGCUCAACCCGGGAAGUGCAUUUGAUACUGCCUUUCUUGAGUAUGGGAGAGGAGAGUGGAAUUCCCAGUGUAGAGGUGAAAUUCGUAGAUAUUGGGAGGAACACCCGUGGCGAAGGCGACUCUCUGGACCAAUACUGACGUUGAGACGCGAAAGCGUGGGGAGCGAACAGGAUUAGAAACCCCGGUAGUCC
Molecule: ribosomal RNA, 274 nt
Filed under: uncultured bacterium
Lineage: Bacteria
Description: partial 16S ribosomal RNA
Rfam family: Bacterial small subunit ribosomal RNA
Source: RNAcentral